UACGUAGGUGGCAAGCGUUGUCCGGAUUUAUUGGGUUUAAAGGGUGCGUAGGCGGUCAUGUAAGUCAGUGCUGAAAUAUCCCGGCUUAACCGGGAGGGUGGCAUUGAUACUGUAUGACUUGAGUAAAGUUGAGGUUGGCGGAAUUGACGGUGUAGCGGUGAAAUGCUUUGAUAUCGUCAAGAACACCUAUUGCGAAGGCAGCUAACUAAGCUUUAACUGACGCUGAGGCACGAAAGUGUGGGGAUCAAACAGG
RNAcentral lists this ribosomal RNA (253 nucleotides) under uncultured bacterium. Its description in RNAcentral is "partial 16S ribosomal RNA". It matches the Rfam family "Bacterial small subunit ribosomal RNA", at positions 524 to 776 of the family's 1533-position model. The record is from RNAcentral.